AUUGAACGCUGGCGGCAGGCUUAACACAUGCAAGUCGAACGUUUGGCGGACGUGUGAGUAAUGCUUGGGAAUCUAGCUUAUGGAGGGGGAUACCUAUGGGAACCUUUAGCUAAUACCGCUUACCAUAGGAUGAGCCCAAGUGGGAUUAGGUAGUUGGUGAGGUAAAGGCUCACCAAGCCGACGAUCCCUAGCCGUUCUGAGAGGGUGACCAGCCACACUGGGACUGAGACACGGCCCAGACUCCUACGGGAGGCAGCAGUGGGGAAUAUUGCGCAAUGGGGGCAACCUGACACAGCCAUGCCGCGUGAAUGAAGAAGGCCUUCGGGUUGUAAAGUUCUUUCGGUAGAGAGGCGUUAACUACAGAAGAAGCAACGGCUAACUCCGUGCCAGCAGCCGCGGUAAUUC
RNAcentral lists this ribosomal RNA (405 nucleotides) under uncultured bacterium. RNAcentral's name for it is "partial 16S ribosomal RNA". It matches the Rfam family "Bacterial small subunit ribosomal RNA", at positions 30 to 526 of the family's 1533-position model. The record is from RNAcentral.